RNAcentral lists this transfer RNA (74 nucleotides) under Bacteroides ovatus. RNAcentral's name for it is "tRNA-Val". It matches the Rfam family "tRNA". Rfam says of the family: Transfer RNA (tRNA) molecules are approximately 80 nucleotides in length. Their secondary structure includes four short double-helical elements and three loops (D, anti-codon, and T loops). RNAcentral also lists the same sequence under 2 other names. Lineage: Bacteria; Pseudomonadati; Bacteroidota; Bacteroidia; Bacteroidales; Bacteroidaceae. The record is from RNAcentral.
GCAGGAUAGAGCAGCAGGUAGCUCGCAAGCCCAACGGGUUUGAGGUCGGGGGUUCGACUCCCCCUCCUGCCCCA